GACGAACGCUGGCGGCGUACCUAAUACAUGCAAGUCGGGCGGACUUUCAAGAAGCUUGCUUUUUGAAAGUUAGCGGCGGACGGGUGAGUAACACGUGGGCAACCUGCCUGUAAGACGAGGAUAACUCCGGGAAACCGGGGCGAAUACCGGAUAAUAUCGUUCUUCGCAUGCAGGAAGGUUGAAAGGCGUGGCAGGAUGCCGCUGGUAGAUGGGCCCGGGGCGCAUUAGCUAGUUGGUGAGGUAACGGCUCACCAGGGCGACGAUGCGUAGCCGACCUGGGAGGGUGAUCGGCCACACUGGGACUGAGACACGGCCCAGACUCCUACGGGAGGCAGCAGUAGGGAAUCUUCCGCAAUGGACGAAAGUCUGACGGAGCAACGCCGCGUGAGCGAAGAAGGUCUUCGGAUCGUAAAGCUCUGUUGUCAGGGAAGAACAAGUACCGUUCGAAUAGGGCGGUACCUUGACGGUACCUGACCAGAAAGCCACAGCUAACUACGUGCCAGCAGCCGCCGUAA
RNAcentral lists this ribosomal RNA (515 nucleotides) under uncultured bacterium. Its description in RNAcentral is "partial 16S ribosomal RNA". It matches the Rfam family "Bacterial small subunit ribosomal RNA", at positions 28 to 523 of the family's 1533-position model. The record is from RNAcentral.